UAAUACGGAGGAUCCAAGCGUUAUCCGGAAUCAUUGGGUUUAAAGGGUCCGUAGGCGGCCAGGUAAGUCAGUGGUGAAAGCCCAUCGCUCAACGGUGGAACGGCCAUUGAUACUGCCAGGCUUGAAUUUCUGGGAAGUAACUAGAAUAUGUAGUGUAGCGGUGAAAUGCUUAGAUAUUACAUGGAAUACCAAUUGCGAAGGCAGGUUACUACCAGUGGAUUGACGCUGAUGGACGAAAGCGUGGGUAGCGAACAGGAUUAGAUACCCUGGUAGUCCACGCCGUAAACGAUGGAUACUAGCUGUUCGGGGCAACCUGAGUGGCUAAGCGAAAGUGAUAAGUAUCCCACCUGGGGAGUACGGGCGCAAGCCUG
Molecule: ribosomal RNA, 371 nt
Filed under: uncultured bacterium
Lineage: Bacteria
Description: bacterial SSU rRNA
Rfam family: Bacterial small subunit ribosomal RNA
Source: RNAcentral